Molecule: long non-coding RNA, 1650 nt
Organism: Triticum dicoccoides
Lineage: Eukaryota; Viridiplantae; Streptophyta; Magnoliopsida; Poales; Poaceae
Exons: 4
Source: RefSeq, a predicted model, not a curated record
UCACCACGACCUACUCUCCUCCUCCUCUGCUACCCACUCCACCCGACGAUCCUCCACUCGGCCGCCCCCUGUAGAUCCUCCGCUUGGCCGCCCGCCGUAGAUCCUUCGCUCGGCCGCCCCCAGCCGAUCAUCCUCUGCUGCCCCGCCGACUGCCGCCGCCGAUGAGCCCAUCUGAUGGCGGUGCCGACCCAUCUUCUGGUGCUGGAUGCGGCAACCAGGGCGAAGGAGAAGAAAUUAAUGUAGACUACCACCAUCGCCAGGUUGCAGGUGAACAACCGACCGUUGUGGUGGCCUUCAGGUUGGCCACGGAGAAGUCCUGGAGCGACGGCGUGUCCAAGAGGAUGCAGCUCGCCAGCCCGCUGCCCGCUGCCCGCCGCUCCUCCCCUGCCUUCUCCUUCUCUCCCUUUUCUUCUCCUUCCUUCUUUCCUUUCUCCAUGUUUUUUCACCUCCGGCUCCCUCUCUGUCGACUGUCUCUAUGCAGCUCCGCCUCUAUGGAGAUCGCCGCCCCGCGUGUGCCGUCACCUGUAAGACUCCGUUCGAGGUUCGACGCCCGUCGUCCUCGCCUCCCAUGUCUCCUGCCGCUUGCCCCACAUCGUGGUGCAUCAUGGAUGCCAUCCAGAUCGAGCAGGGGCACGAGAGGUGCCGCGCUCCCCUCCUUGAACGGCUGCUUUGCUGUCGUCGUCUCACCCAUCGCGGACUAGCAGAGUGGUCCACUUCCGGCACCGCAAUCCCAGCCGUCACCUGCGCCUCCCUCCGUCGCUGAUCCGCGGCCCGGCCCCGCCUCUGCCGUGCGUCGGCGGGAUACGCUGCCCAGAUGGAGAAUAAUUAUCCAUCUAGAUAUCUGUUGUAUGCUAGAGAGCGACCCCGUUUAAAGGUCUAACAAACACAACGAUUGAGGGGAAUGGAGCUUCCCAUCUCCAACAAAAAAAUGCCACUGGUCAGGUGUGGUAUGCCCAAAUGUCAGACGAGAAGAAAGCAGAAUUGAAGCAUCAUUUAGCCCCCAGGAAAAGAAGGUUGCAGCUCUGGAAAGUGUUGCCACGGACCAAGUAGCAAACACGCCUGCUUCUGCGUCAAGGUCUAUGCAAUGUACUCAUCUGAGUGACAAAACAUACAGACGUAUAAAUGCCUGUGUAACUACAGAUCCGUGACUGCUGAUCUUCAACUUGAUAAAAAAUUAGUCGAACAAAGAAAACAAACAUGUCAAGGUUGGUAUGCUGAGCUAUCAAAUGAGAAAGCAGAAUACCUAAAGAAGUAACGAACGGCUCGGCUACAAAAGAAAGAUGCAGCCGUUGAUGUGAAUGUCGAAGUACCUCAAUUAUCUGACCCACAUGUUUCACUGGGGGAUAUGUUCCGGUCUGACAUGGCGCUCGGCGAUAUUCCGCCGCUCUAUCAUGAUGACUGUGGAUUGCGGAGUCGAACAUGUCAUUCCCGAUCCACCUUCGAUGAGUCGCCAGACAAGAAGUCACAAAGUUGCUGAACUAUGACAUGUACUAUUUUAGAGAUGUUCAAGAUUCGGCUUUGGGGUUAGGCUUGUUUUCUCAAUGGUUUGAUCAGAGUAGCUGCUGUUGGGAAAACCUAUUUGCUUGAUGAGGACAAUAAGAUUACAUCAGGCACUUGGGCAUCAUUCACCCUAAAGUAAUGUGUUCGGUU